GAUGCAUCACACGUUUUUUUUACAGACAGGCCCAUGGUGAUGGCAGUGGGAGGGAGACAAAGACAGAUGGAGAGUGUGUGUGUGUGUGUGUGUGAGUGUGUGCAGAUCCAUGCAUUAUGUUGCAGGAAUACUUGCUGCUUACCCCCUCAUGAAGGACGCAGCAGUGCGGCCUGGCAGCUGUGAAAUGAAAUGAGGGAGGAGGUCCAGUUUAUUUCAGACCCAGGAUCUCCCAGGCCGGCCAGCCAGCCAACCAGGCCGCCAAGCGUCAUCAAUUCACCCCUAAUCUCUCCCCCCAGUCCUUUUUACAGCUAAUCCAUUGUGUUGGUCAUUGUCAUCUGAUCAUGUGUGACCCCGGCUGCUUUAUAGCUGGUGCCUGGCAGCGUAGCAUUGACUUUUGACAUCAAUCUAUGGGCAGAUAUCAGGGGGGAGGGGGAGAUUCAAACUCACUUUGGAUUGUAAUUUGGCUUUUUAUUGGGACUUUUUACGAGAAAUGUUGGUUAUCACACCCAUCUCCUGGAAGGAAAAGUCAUGGUGAGGAGGGCUGAUGUUUGGGUAGGAUGAUUGUCGGAGAAAGCCAACAAGAAACUAUAAAAAACAUGCUUGUUUUCAUAUUUGUCAUGAAAAAGUCUUCCUUUACCUCUACUGAAAAGAGAAUGUUUGACCUCAUGAAUCAGGUAUUAUCAGGUUUGUGGUAAGUCCAGUCUACGGUGGGGAAAUUGCCAUAAAAACAGAAUU
Molecule: long non-coding RNA, 735 nt
Organism: Notolabrus celidotus (New Zealand spotty)
Lineage: Eukaryota; Metazoa; Chordata; Actinopteri; Labriformes; Labridae
Exons: 3
Source: RefSeq, a predicted model, not a curated record